Transfer RNA from Camelus ferus (Wild Bactrian camel), 72 nucleotides. It matches the Rfam family "tRNA". From Rfam's summary of the family: Transfer RNA (tRNA) molecules are approximately 80 nucleotides in length. Their secondary structure includes four short double-helical elements and three loops (D, anti-codon, and T loops). The record is from Rfam. Lineage: Eukaryota; Metazoa; Chordata; Mammalia; Artiodactyla; Camelidae.
GUGGGUAUAGCUCAGUGAUAGAGUACAUGUUUAGCAUGCAUGAGGUCCUAGGUUUAAUCCCCAGUACCUCCU